RNAcentral lists this ribosomal RNA (710 nucleotides) under Salmonella enterica. RNAcentral's name for it is "partial 23S ribosomal RNA". It matches the Rfam family "Bacterial large subunit ribosomal RNA", at positions 566 to 1276 of the family's 2925-position model. The record is from RNAcentral. Lineage: Bacteria; Pseudomonadati; Pseudomonadota; Gammaproteobacteria; Enterobacterales; Enterobacteriaceae.
ACAAGCGGUGAGUGCUUUGGGGUGGGGUGACUGCGUACCUUUUGUAUAAUGGGUCAGCGACUUAUAUUCUGUAGCAAGGUUAACCGAAUAGGGGAGCCGGAGGGAAACCGAGUCUUAAUUGGGCGUUAAGUUGCAGGGUAUAGACCCGAAACCCGGUGAUCUAGCCAUGGGCAGGUUGAAGGUUGGGUAACACUAACUGGAGGACCGAACCGACUAAUGUUGAAAAAUUAGCGGAUGACCUGUGGCUGGGGGUGAAAGGCCAAUCAAACCGGGAGAUAGCUGGUUCUCCCCGAAAGCUAUUUAGGUAGCGCCUCGUGAAUUCAUCUCCGGGGGUAGAGCACUGUUUCGGCUAGGGGGCCAUCCCGGCUUACCAACCCGAUGCAAACUGCGAAUACCGGAGAAUGUUAUCACGGGAGACACACGGCGGGUGCUAACGUCCGUCGUGAAGAGGGAAACAACCCAGACCGCCAGCUAAGGUCCCAAAGUCAUGGUUAAGUGGGAAACGAUGUGGGAAGGCCCAGACAGCCAGGAUGUUGGCUUAGAAGCAGCCAUCAUUUAAAGAAAGCGUAAUAGCUCACUGGUCGAGUCGGCCUGCGCGGAAGAUGUAACGGGGCUAAACCAUGCACCGAAGCUGCGGCAGCGACACUCAGGUGUUGUUGGGUAGGGGAGCGUUCUGUAAGCCUGCGAAGGUGGCCUGUGAGGGUUGCUGG